RNAcentral lists this long non-coding RNA (615 nucleotides) under Homo sapiens (human). Its description in RNAcentral is "HSALNT0398971". Lineage: Eukaryota; Metazoa; Chordata; Mammalia; Primates; Hominidae. The record is from RNAcentral.
AAGCCAAAGAUCAUGAAAGGCAGGUGACCAUACAGGGCUCUACGGAUUCAGGCUUCCCUGGAUUCCUGUCCAGGCCAGAGCCAGGUGGACUGAGGAUGCCUGCAUUAUUUCUGAGCCUCAGCGUUCCAGUCCUCAGUGCCAACUCUUAGCAACUGUGGGACCUUGCACAAGAACUCAACCUCCCUGUGCCUCUGUGUUAUUCCAUUCUAUUCUAGUCUAACUCCAUGAGGUUUUUGGAAAACUUCGAAAGACCUAACUCAGACCAUAUGCCGCUUCUGUACACAACCCUCCACGGCUCCUAGCAUCCUAAGAAUUGAGGGAAAACUCCUCACCUUGGCACUCCAGGAGCCGUUCCUGCGUUUUCUGACGCCCUCUCCACCGCCCCUCGGCUGAGAACUGGGUCCAGAUGAGCCUUGGACCCCGUUGAAGACGUCUCCUACCUCAUCUCCCACACCUGCUGGGACCAUCUCCAACCGCCCUCAGGGCAGUAGGGAGUUAUUUUGCAGGCACAGAGCUAAAGAGUUGCAAGUUACACAGCUAGAGAAUGUGCAGAAAAGAAAAUGUCAGGCCCAGCGCGGUGGCUCACACCUGUAAUCCAAGCACAUUGGGAGGCUG